CGGCACGGGUGAGUAACGCGUAUGCGACCUGCCCGUUGCAGGGGGAUAAUCGGGAGAAAUCCCGUCUAAUACCGCGUAACGCCGCGGGGCUGCAUGGCCCUGCGGCCAAAGGGAGCGAUUCCGGCAACGGAUGGGCAUGCGUGACAUUAGCUAGUUGGCGGGGCAACGGCCCACCAAGGCGACGAUGUCUAGGGGUACUGAGAGGAAGGUCCCCCACACUGGUACUGAGACACGGACCAGACUCCUACGGAAGGCAGCAG
RNAcentral lists this ribosomal RNA (260 nucleotides) under uncultured bacterium. RNAcentral's name for it is "partial 16S ribosomal RNA". It matches the Rfam family "Bacterial small subunit ribosomal RNA", at positions 98 to 354 of the family's 1533-position model. The record is from RNAcentral.